Molecule: long non-coding RNA, 417 nt
Organism: Temnothorax curvispinosus
Lineage: Eukaryota; Metazoa; Arthropoda; Insecta; Hymenoptera; Formicidae
Exons: 2
Source: RefSeq, a predicted model, not a curated record
UACACGGUUUGCGAAGUGAUUUCCCUGCCUAUACAAAACGGAAACGACGAUUACCUAAAGUGGAUCAGCGAGGUGGUGCCACCGCUUGAUAAAAGCGCUUAAAAUAAUUAAGAUACAUGAGUAAGAUUCUCUCAACGAUUCGUCGGAAAAAUCAUUUUACUUCGCUUAUAUCCUUAUGAAGCUAUCUUACGUUAGAAUAAAAAAGCUAUGAUUACUUGUAAGUAUACAAUUAGACACAAUCUCUGUAAAGUGUGAGGUUUGCAUUGAAAGUUCAAAUUCUUCACUUACAUUAUUAGAACACACUAAGACAUGCCAAGUGAUAUCGAUCAAUCAGUCUUACGGUGUUAUUCGCACAUAUAUUUAUAUUCUUAAACUCACAUUUGUUUAUGCAAUAAAACGUAAAGAUUUAAUUUUCAA